This 187-nucleotide ribosomal RNA is filed under the name uncultured rumen bacterium. RNAcentral describes it as "partial 16S ribosomal RNA". It matches the Rfam family "Bacterial small subunit ribosomal RNA", at positions 340 to 524 of the family's 1533-position model. The record is from RNAcentral.
UACGGGAGGCAGCAGUGGGGAAUAUUGCACAAUGGGCGCAAGCCUGAUGCAGCAACGCCGCGUGCGGGAGGACGGCCCUAUGGGUUGUAAACCGCUUUUGCGAGGGAGCAAUAAGGUCUACGUGUAGGCUGAUGAGAGUACCUUACGAAUAAGCAUCGGCUAACUCCGUGCCAGCAGCCGCGGUAAU